GCCAUCAUGGCCUAGUGGUUAGAGUGUCGGACUGCGACUCUGGAAACCAGGGUUCUAAUCCUCGCUUGGCC
Non-coding RNA from Phrynosoma platyrhinos (Desert horned lizard), 71 nucleotides. The record is from the annotation of a GenBank genome assembly. NCBI's taxonomy places the organism in Eukaryota, Metazoa, Chordata, Lepidosauria, Squamata, Phrynosomatidae.